Pneumocystis jirovecii is the source of this 88-nucleotide small nucleolar RNA. The record is from Rfam. Lineage: Eukaryota; Fungi; Ascomycota; Pneumocystomycetes; Pneumocystales; Pneumocystaceae.
AAAUAAUGAUGAUACAUACUUUUUAACAGUUCUGCUUCUGAAUAUUCAUGAAGAUAUUUUAUUACCAAAGAAAUUUAGUAUCUGAAUU